Long non-coding RNA from Amblyraja radiata (thorny skate), 249 nucleotides. RefSeq lists it as uncharacterized. The transcript is spliced from 3 exons. Lineage: Eukaryota; Metazoa; Chordata; Chondrichthyes; Rajiformes; Rajidae. The record is from RefSeq and is a predicted model, not a curated record.
UGGUCCAACUUACAGAAACAAAAUGAAGCAACACUCUACGCUGAAGAGUCAAUUAAACAAUUAAGGAGCACAUUUGAACACAGGAUGCUGCAGAUUGAAAAUGCAUUGAAUUACCUCAAGAACAGACAAACCUUUCUUGAAUCGGAAGAAAAUAAUCUGGAGGAAAGGAUUAACACAAGGCUCGAUGAUCUAGCUGCUGCAAUAGUACAACAAGAACACACGAGGCUGCAGAAACACAAUGAGAUGCAG